UUGAAAAUAGUACUUGAGUCACCUGUGCCGUCCAUGGGAACUCCAGAGCCUCUCUUUCAAAGGAUCGUCAGAUACCUAGCAGUUGCCUCUUCCAUGAAAAGCCAAGAUAAAUCAAAAUCAUAUAUUCAACAGAUCAUCUUAAAACUGCUUGUCACAUGGACCGUUGAUUGCCCAGCUGCAGUUCAGUGCUUUCUAGAUUCACGCCACCACCUAACGUACCUGCUCGAUCUGGUAUCAAACCCAGCUGCAACAGUUUGCAUAAGAGGCUUGGCGUCUAUCCUACUGGGAGAAUGCGUCAUCUACAACAAAUCAAGCGAGAAUGGUAAAGAUGCUUUUGCUGUAGUUGAUGCUGUGAGCCAGAAGAUGGGGCUCACAUCAUACUUCUCGAAGUUCGAAGAGAUGCAGAGCAGCCUCAUCUUCUCUUCUUCCUCCGAGAGACCUCGAGAGGAUCAUGAACCGUUGACGAGAACAGCCACGCCUAGUGAAGCCGAGAUCGAGGAUGUUGACGUGGCAGGUGCGAUGGAUAAGGGGAACGAGGAUCACCCGAUGCUCAUAUCGUUGUUUGAUCCUAGCUUCACAGGCUUAGUGAAGAGCCUUGAAGGUAGCAUUAGAGAGAGAAUCGUGGACGUGUAUAGUCGGCCAAAAAGUGAGGUGGCUGUAGUACCGGCGGAUUUGGAGCAGAGGAGCGGAGAGAAUGAGAAAGACUACAUCAACCGCGUGAAAGCUUUUAUAGAGAAACAGUGCUCGGAGAUUCAGGUACAUGCUUCUUGCUCAACUCGUCUAUGCUUUUAAUUGUUUUAUUGCAAAAAUUAUUUUGAUGAAUUAUCAAAAUUAAAUAUACAAAACAACAAAUUUAUUGAUUUGUACUUACAUCAUUACUUUAAUUUAACAGAUUUAAACUAAUUUAUUUUUAUUUAAAUCGAUUUAGAAUGGUUUAAACCGAUUUGAAUCAUAUAAAUCAGAUUUUAAGAAAAUUGUUUUGUCUAAGACAGAUUUGCCGCCUUAAACCGACUUUUAGAACCAUGAUUACUACGAACUAUGUCUUAUGUUCUUAGUGAGAAGUGAACUGAAACAAAUAUUCAUACAAUUAGUCUCCAAAUUUAUGUGAUAUGUAUGAAUAUGAUUAUGUGAAGGUUAUAACCGAAACAAAAUAAAUCUCAACAUCAGUUGUGCCUUAAAGAGCUUAUUGUCGACCUCUGUGUACUUUUCCAGAACCUUCUUGCUCGGAACGCUGCUUUGGCAGAAGACGUAGCGAGCUCUGGCAGGAACGAGCAAUCUCAAGGAUCAGAGCAAAGAGCAAGUACAGUAAUGGAGAAGGUUCAUAUAGAUAGCAUCAAGCGAGAACUCCAAGAAACAUCUCAACGCUUAGAGACAAUCAAAUCAGAAAAAGCCAAGAUGGAGUCUGAGGCAUCAGAAUACAAGAACGUUGCCGCGAAACUUGAAUCAGACCUGAAGGGCCUGUCGGACGCAUACAACAGUCUAGAACAAGCGAACUACCAUCUCGAGAAAGAGGUGAGAUCCUUGAAAGGAGGAGAAGGUCCUAUGGAGUAUCCUGAUGUAGAAGCGAUUAAGGAAGAAGUGAGAAAGGAAGCUCAGAAAGAGAGCGAAGACGAGUUGAACGACUUGUUAGUGUGUUUGGGACAAGAGGAGAGCAAAGUGGAGAAGCUAACGGCGAAGCUGGUAGAGUUAGGAGUUGAUGUUGAUAAGCUUUUGGAGGAUAUUGGGGACGAGUUGCAAGCUCAAGGGGAAUGUGAAGAUGAUGAUGAUGAUGACCACUAAACAAAGUUGUAGAGAUCAAAUCUUCUCAGUCACUCUAAGUAAUUUAUCAUCUACUUUCCAACAUGUUAUAUUGUUUUCUUGAUUUCUCAGAAGCUUUUUUACUUCAAGAUAUAGACAAGAUGAAUGAAUGAAAGAAGAAUCAGAUUUGGUUUCUCACUCUUAUUCUUCAUAGUCAUCUUUGAUCAUUUUACCAGUAUUUUCAGAUAACGGGGGGAAUUGAUUCAAGGUGCAAUGCAGAAGGGUUCAGAUGAAGCUUUACCCUCCAAAUCUAGAGUAAAACAAACAAGCAUUUUGAUUGAAAAGUUUGCAUUAAUUGUUAUUGUGCGUGUAUUUUGAGAAAUUGCAAACAAAAAUAGCAGUUAGUUUUCUGAAGUGAAAGUCAAAAUCAACAAGACACAAGGAGGGAGGAUCAGUCACGUAUCAAAAGCCUCAAGUCGUAAGAAUCCUCUUCUUGUUGGAAUCUUGUGUGAGCUUUCUGAAGGAUUUUGAGAACCUUAGACAAUGAUCCAUUGCUUCGACUCUCGUCGCUCUUCUUCUCUGCGUGAGAGUAAAAUUCUUCUUCCGAAUCAUUAUUCGUCAUCUGGUAUCUGAAAUAAAUGUACUGUUUCACCUGCUCUGACUGUGUUGUGCACUUGUGCUAUGUUUUAACUUAUUGUUUGUCUGUCCAGGUUCGAGGUGCCUUAGAAACUCUUCUUGGCGCUCUAACGCCAAUCGAUCAUGCAAGGGCACAGAAGACUGAAGUCCAUGCGGCUCUUAUGAAUUCCGAUUUGCUCUCCCGUGAAGCUGAAAAUAUCACUCUUCUUUUAAGUUUGCUGGUUAGAGUUUAUUAUAUAUUUUCGAAACUGUCUUGUCAAAUUUUUGUGCGUGCAUCAUAUCAUAUUGUUUGUUUUCCUUGUGGUAUGGCAGGAGGAAGAAGAUUUUUAUGUUCGAUAUUUCACUCUCCAGAUUUUGACAGCUCUUCUUAUGAACUCUCAAAAUAGGUAUAUAUUCUUACAGAGUAUUAAUGCUGUGCCAUCUUUCUAUCUAUGCUGUAGAGUCUUUUGUUGAUGGUCUCUUCAGAUUGCAGGAAGCUAUUUUGACUACUCCUCGCGGCAUAACUCGGCUCAUGGAUAUGCUGAUGGAUAGGGAGGUAACAGUUAACUAUAUCUUGGAUAUUCUUAACGUUGCUAUUGGUUUGUUUAAGAGUCUGGUCUCUUUAGCCUUCAGUUAACCUCAAAUAAUUAUUAGUCUGGGAAGGGAUGAAUAUUAUGUUUCAUAAACUUUAUUUAUUGGUGUUUGGCUUACAGGUAAUCCGGAACGAGGCUUUGUUGCUUCUUACGCACUUGACGCGUGAAGCAGAGGUGCGAUAACCUGCUUAUAUCUGUAACUCUUCGUUUUCUUCUGCCUUUCUUUAGCUGAAGUAGCCAUUGAAUCUGAUCGAUCUCGCUUAAUGAUUAACUACUUGUAGGAGAUCCAAAAAAUUGUUGUCUUUGAAGGUGCAUUUGAAAAGAUUUUUAGCAUCAUCAAGGAGGAAGGAGGGUCAGAUGGCGAUGUGGUUGUGCAGGUGACCAGUAGCUCUUUUUUUUUUAAAAUAUAUUAUAGCACUAAGAAUUGGACAUUUGAGAAGGAAAAGUGAUAUUGUUUUGUUCUUUAAUUUAGAACUACAAAAUUAUUGGCAUUUACACGUCCAAAUGUUGUCUUCCUGCAAUUUUUGCAAGCACUUCCUUGUCCAUGCAUUUGCACUAAUAGUGUUCGUUCUUUACAGGACUGUCUGGAGUUGUUGAAAAAUCUUCUUCGCAACAGUUCAUCAAACCAGGUAUCAAAGCUUUGUAUAUGUUCUGUAUUUUUCUGAUUCAUCUGCACAAAUGCUGAUAUUCGAAAUUGUACAGAUACUACUAAGGGAGACCAUGGGUUUUGAACCAAUCAUUUCAGUUCUAAAACUGCGAGGGAUUACAUAUAAGUUCACCCAGCAGAAGGUUAGAUCAUCGAGUGCUUCUCUCAUUUUGGAUUGAUUCUACCAGCUAGUGCGAGUUUGUUAAUAUUUUUCCGUCUCAAUGAACAAAAUCCUAGUAGACUGUUAAUCUGCUUUGUGCACUGGAGACAAUCAAUAUGCUGAUCAUGGGAGGUGCAGUCACGGACCCUGGAAAAGAAUCAAACAAACUGGCAAAUAGAACGGUUUUUGUUCAGGUUUGUGUUACGAUGUAAAAAAUGUUGUGGCUCCCCAUUGUUGACAUAUGUUUCUUAUUAUAUCAUAUUUGGUCUAAUCAACAGAAAAAACUACUAGACCACCUCCUUAUGUUGGGUGUUGAAAGCCAAUGGUCGCCUGUUGCUGUUCGGUGCAUGGUAAGCAAAUCUCCUUUGUUAUCAUUCAAAUUUCUUUUCUGAUUUGUGCAACUGACAACAAUUUCGAAAAUUCAAUUUAACUUCUUCUUUUGUUGAACCUUGUUUCUAAGUUGACCAUGGAACUGGUGUGUUUAUGGGUUUUUAUCUAGAGAUUGUUAAUGUAUCAUCUAGACCCAGUAAGCUUAAGUAUCUAAUGGGUCUUCUAUUUUUUGAUUCUUUGCUACUAGACAUUUAAAUGCAUUGGAGAUCUGGUUGAUGGACAUCCCAAGAACCGUGAUAUCCUUGCUAGCAAAGUUCUUGGUGAAGAUCGGCAAGCAGAACCUGCACUCAAUUCUAUCCUCCGGAUCAUUUUACAGACAUCUAGUAUUCAAGAGUUUGUUGCUGCUGAUUAUGUCUUCAAGACCUUCUGUGAGGUUUGGAACUUUUGUGUUAUAUGUUAUUAUUUGAUAGUGUAAUGUGAGCUUGCAGCUUAUUGUUACAUUCUCUAAACGUUUUCAGAAAAAUCGGGAGGGUCAAGCAAUGCUAGCUUCAACUUUAAUACCCCAACCACAUCCCACCACCCGAGAUCCUCUAGAAGAUGAUGUUAACAUGUCUUUUGGAAGGUGUUAUCCUCUUUUCCUUUCUCCAGCAGCUUUCACCGGUUCAUUAUCAUUGCUCUUUUGACCUAAUGCUCUUGUAUCAAAUCUUACUGGAAUUUUAUAUUUGUGUCAGUAUGUUAUUGCGAGGCAUUUUCCCUGGUGAAACUGAUGGGGAUCUUGAGGUAAAAUAUUUGUGUCUCUGUUGAAUGUUAAUUUGUUACGUCUUCCAGAACUAAUCUAUUGAUUUCAAACAGACAUGUUGCAGAGCUGCGAGCAUUCUUUCUCAUGUUUUGAAAGACAACAUUCAGUGCAAGGAAAAGGUAAUUGACUUCAAUGUAACCACACCUUUAUACCUUAGGUUCUGCAUUGCCUGACUGUUUCAGAAACUCAACAGGCUUUGAAAAUAGUACUUGAGUCACCUGUGCCGUCCAUGGGAACUCCAGAGCCUCUCUUUCAAAGGAUCGUCAGAUACCUAGCAGUUGCCUCUUCCAUGAAAAGCCAAGAUAAAUCAAAAUCAUAUAUUCAACAGAUCAUCUUAAAACUGCUUGUCACAUGGACCGUUGAUUGCCCAGCUGCAGUUCAGUGCUUUCUAGAUUCACGCCACCACCUAACGUACCUGCUCGAUCUGGUAUCAAACCCAGCUGCAACAGUUUGCAUAAGAGGCUUGGCGUCUAUCCUACUGGGAGAAUGCGUCAUCUACAACAAAUCAAGCGAGAAUGGUAAAGAUGCUUUUGCUGUAGUUGAUGCUGUGAGC
RNAcentral lists this long non-coding RNA (5433 nucleotides) under Brassica napus (rape). RNAcentral's name for it is "long non-coding RNA (BNAP_LNC001719)". Lineage: Eukaryota; Viridiplantae; Streptophyta; Magnoliopsida; Brassicales; Brassicaceae. The record is from RNAcentral.